AUUGAACGCUGGCGGCAGGCCUAACACAUGCAAGUCGAACGGUAGCACAGAGAGCUUGCUCUCGGGUGACGAGUGGCGGACGGGUGAGUAAUGUCUGGGAAACUGCCCGAUGGAGGGGGGUAACUACUGGAAACGGUAGCUAAUACCGCAUAACGUCGCAAGACCAAAGUGGGGGACCUUCGGGCCUCACACCAUCGGAUGUGCCCAGAUGGGAUUAGCUAGUAGGUGGGGUAAUGGCUCACCUAGGCGACGAUCCCUAGCUGGUCUGAGAGGAUGACCAGCCACACUGGAACUGAGACACGGUCCAGACUCCUACGGGAGGCAGCAGUGGGGAAUAUUGCACAAUGGGCGCAAGCCUGAUGCAGCCAUGCCGCGUGUAUGAAGAAGGCCUUCGGGCUGUAAAGUACUUUCAGCGGGGAGGAAGGCGGUGAAGUUAAUAACUUCACCGAUUGACGUUACCCGCAGAAGAAGCACCGGCUAACUCCGUGCCAGCCGCCGCGGUAA
Molecule: ribosomal RNA, 504 nt
Filed under: uncultured bacterium
Lineage: Bacteria
Description: partial 16S ribosomal RNA
Rfam family: Bacterial small subunit ribosomal RNA
Source: RNAcentral